GGGACCGUAGGGUAGCUUGGCCCAUCCUUCGGGCUUCGGGAGUCCGGGACUCGAGUUCAAAUCUCGGCGGUCCCA
Molecule: transfer RNA, 75 nt
Filed under: Thermococci archaeon
Lineage: Archaea; Methanobacteriati; Methanobacteriota; Thermococci
Also listed under: 2 other names
Description: tRNA-Pro
Source: RNAcentral